UAGAUGGCAGCUAGCUCUCUGCAACUCUCACAUGGUCGCCCAUUGAAGCUAAGCCGGGCUGGGCCCGGUCAGUACCUGGAUGGGAGACCACAUGGGAAAGCUAGGUUGCAGUCUGU
Danio rerio (zebrafish) is the source of this 116-nucleotide ribosomal RNA. Lineage: Eukaryota; Metazoa; Chordata; Actinopteri; Cypriniformes; Danionidae. The record is from Ensembl.